RNAcentral lists this ribosomal RNA (497 nucleotides) under uncultured bacterium. Its description in RNAcentral is "partial 16S ribosomal RNA". It matches the Rfam family "Bacterial small subunit ribosomal RNA", at positions 28 to 507 of the family's 1533-position model. The record is from RNAcentral.
GAUGAACGCUGGCGGCGUGCCUAAUACAUGCAAGUCGAGCGAACAGACGAGGAGCUUGCUCCUCUGACGUUAGCGGCGGACGGGUGAGUAACACGUGGAUAACCUACCUAUAAGACUGGGAUAACUUCGGGAAACCGGAGCUAAUACCGGAUAAUAUAUUGAACCGCAUGGUUCAAUAGUGAAAGACGGUUUUGCUGUCACUUAUAGAUGGAUCCGCGCCGCAUUAGCUAGUUGGUAAGGUAACUGCUUACCAAGGCGACGAUGCGUAGCCGACCUGAGAGGGUGAUCGGCCACACUGGAACUGAGACACGGUCCAGACUCCUACGGGAGGCAGCAGUAGGGAAUAUUACGCAAUGGGCGAAAGCCUGACGGAGCAACGCCGCGUGAGUGAUGAAGGUCUUCGGAUCGUAAAACUCUGUUAUUAGGGAAGAACAAAUGUGUAAGUAACUAUGCACGUCUUGACGGUACCUAAUCAGAAAGCCACGGCUAACUACGUG